RNAcentral lists this long non-coding RNA (815 nucleotides) under Mus musculus (house mouse). RNAcentral describes it as "predicted gene 20544". Lineage: Eukaryota; Metazoa; Chordata; Mammalia; Rodentia; Muridae. The record is from RNAcentral.
CAGUUACUGCCACCCUCUCCCAGGUCUAGAGAGGGGUACCCACGGUGGAGGGAGGUGGGAGGCCGAGACGGCCCCGGGGGUCGGCGGAGACCCAGCGGGAGCAGGGGGAAAUCGGAAGAGCUGGGGGCAUGGAGCGGGCGAGUUUGGAGCGGAAUGAGCCGGGAGCCCUACGUUGUGGAAGGAAGACAACAGUAUAGGACCAUCAGCAGGACCGGACAGAGAGGGGCACGGUUUCUCUGUAUAGCCCUGGCUGUCCUGGAACUUGUAGACCAGGCUGGCCUUGAACUCAGAAAUCCGCCUGCCUCUGACUCCCGAGUGCUGAGAUUAAAGGUGUGCACCACCACACCCGACAAGGAAGCCUGUUUUAAGAAGUGAUUCCAUGGAGGAGUUCUGCGGCGGCUCAGGGCUUGACUAAACAGUGGACCUCAGACAAGAGAGGCUAAACCAGGCUGCAGGUGACAGGAAGAAUUGAAUAAACUGAAAGCAAAGGGCAGCCUUCUAAUUACGCUUCGUGGCUAUGUGGACAACCUGGAGAAGUCUGGAAACCUUUCCUCCUCCAUUUUACUACUUGAGGGAGCAGUGGGUGGGAUACUAGAAAGAAGCCAGAAGCCCGAAGCCAGCAGUAGAGCUCUGACUGGCUUGUAUGCCUAGAAAGGAAGGGCUCUUCUUUCGCCUCACGGGCACAAAUGGGACCCACGAGCGCCGAUUUCAGACUAUUCUGAUCCCUUCAAAAAGAAAGUUAGGAGUCCAGGCUACUGUGAGUGAAUUUGAUUCUAAUUGUUUCAGAGAAUAUGGAAUAAAAUAUCUCAUUUGCA